This 465-nucleotide ribosomal RNA is filed under the name uncultured bacterium. Its description in RNAcentral is "partial 16S ribosomal RNA". It matches the Rfam family "Bacterial small subunit ribosomal RNA", at positions 28 to 507 of the family's 1533-position model. The record is from RNAcentral.
GAUGAACGCUGGCGGCGUGCUUAACACAUGCAAGUCGAACGGAAAGGCUCCUGCUUGCAGGGGUACUCGAGUGGCGAACGGGUGAGUAACACGUGGGUGAUCUGCCCUGCACUUCGGGAUAAGCCUGGGAAACUGGGUCUAAUACCGGAUAGGACGAUGGUUUGGAUGCCAUUGUGGAAAGUUUUUCGGUGUGGGAUGAGCUCGCGGCCUAUCAGCUUGUUGGUGGGGUAAUGGCCUACCAAGGCGUCGACGGGUAGCCGGCCUGAGAGGGUGUACGGCCACAUUGGGACUGAGAUACGGCCCAGACUCCUACGGGAGGCAGCAGUGGGGAAUAUUGCACAAUGGGCGCAAGCCUGAUGCAGCGACGCCGCGUGGGGGAUGACGGCCUUCGGGUUGUAAACUCCUUUCGCUAGGGAAGAAGCGCAAGUGACGGUACCUGGAGAAGAAGCACCGGCUAACUACGUG